This 750-nucleotide ribosomal RNA is filed under the name Nocardiopsis valliformis. Its description in RNAcentral is "bacterial SSU rRNA". It matches the Rfam family "Bacterial small subunit ribosomal RNA", at positions 88 to 837 of the family's 1533-position model. Lineage: Bacteria; Bacillati; Actinomycetota; Actinomycetes; Streptosporangiales; Nocardiopsidaceae. The record is from RNAcentral.
UACACGAGCGGCGAACGGGUGAGUAACACGUGAGCAACCUGCCCCUGACUCCGGGAUAAGCGGUGGAAACGCCGUCUAAUACCGGAUAUGACCUGCCACCUCAUGGUGGCGGGUGGAAAGUUUUAUCGGUCAGGGAUGGGCUCGCGGCCUAUCAGCUUGUUGGUGGGGUAACGGCCUACCAAGGCGAUUACGGGUAGCCGGCCUGAGAGGGCGACCGGCCACACUGGGACUGAGACACGGCCCAGACUCCUGCGGGAGGCAGCAGUGGGGAAUAUUGCACAAUGGGCGAAAGCCUGAUGCAGCGACGCCGCGUGGGGGAUGACGGCCUUCGGGUUGUAAACCUCUUUUACCACCAACGCAGGCUCCGGGUUUUCUCGGGGUUGACGGUAGGUGGGGAAUAAGGACCGGCUAACUACGUGCCAGCAGCCGCGGUAAUACGUAGGGUCCGAGCGUUGUCCGGAAUUAUUGGGCGUAAAGAGCUCGUAGGCGGCAUGUCGCGUCUGCUGUGAAAGACCGGGGCUUAACUCCGGUUCUGCAGUGGAUACGGGCAUGCUAGAGGUAGGUAGGGGAAACUGGAAUUCCUGGUGUAGCGGUGAAAUGCGCAGAUAUCAGGAGGAACACCGGUGGCGAAGGCGGGUUUCUGGGCCUUACCUGACGCUGAGGAGCGAAAGCAUGGGGAGCGAACAGGAUUAGAUACCCUGGUAGUCCAUGCCGUAAACGUUGGGCGCUAGGUGUGGGGACUUUCCACGG